RNAcentral lists this signal recognition particle RNA (99 nucleotides) under Dethiosulfovibrio peptidovorans. Its description in RNAcentral is "signal recognition particle sRNA small type". It matches the Rfam family "Bacterial small signal recognition particle RNA". From Rfam's summary of the family: The signal recognition particle (SRP) is a universally conserved ribonucleoprotein involved in the co-translational targeting of proteins to membranes. Archaeal SRP consists of a 7S RNA and homologues of the eukaryotic SRP19 and SRP54 proteins. In most bacteria, the SRP consists of a 4.5S RNA and the Ffh protein (a homologue of the eukaryotic SRP54 protein). The record is from RNAcentral. Lineage: Bacteria; Thermotogati; Synergistota; Synergistia; Synergistales; Dethiosulfovibrionaceae.
GGCCCAGUCCCGUGCGGCGAAAGCCCGUGAACCCCGUCAGGUCCGAGAGGAAGCAGCGGUAAACGGUGUCUUUUGGGUGCCACGGAGCCCUGGGCCUCC